UACGUAGGGGGCAAGCGUUGUCCGGAUUCAUUGGGCGUAAAGGGUGCGUAGGCGGCGCGGUAAGUCGGGUGUGAAAUCUCGGAGCUUAACUCCGAAACUGCAUUCGAUACUGCCGUGCUUGAGGGUUGCAGAGGAGACUGGAAUUCCCGGUGUAGCGGUGAAAUGUGUAGAGAUCGGGAGGAACACCGGUGGCGAAGGCGGGUCUCUGGGCAAUUCCUGACGCUGAGGCGCGAAAGCGUGGGGAGCAAACGGG
This 253-nucleotide ribosomal RNA is filed under the name uncultured bacterium. Its description in RNAcentral is "partial 16S ribosomal RNA". It matches the Rfam family "Bacterial small subunit ribosomal RNA", at positions 524 to 776 of the family's 1533-position model. The record is from RNAcentral.